GACGAACGCUGGCGGCGUGCCUAACACAUGCAAGUCGUGCGAUUGAGAGGUGAGCAUCUCACUUCUCAAGAGCGGCGGACGGGUGAGUAAUGCGUGAACAAUCUACCGGCAAGACUGGGACAACACCGGGAAACUGGUGCUAAUACCGGAUAAUCUCCACCGGCGGCAUCGUUGGUGGAGGAAAGUCGGCCUCUGGAUAUGCUGGCGCUUGUCGAUGAGUUCACGUCCCAUUAGCUUGUUGGUGGGGUAACGGCCCACCAAGGCGACGAUGGGUAGCCGGCCUGAGAGGGUGGUCGGCCACACUGGGACUGAGACACGGCCCAGACUCCUACGGGAGGCAGCAGUGGGGAAUCUUCCGCAAUGGGCGCAAGCCUGACGGAGCGACGCCGCGUGAGGGACGAAGGCCUUCGGGUUGUAAACCUCUUUUCUGGGGGAAGAACGUCCGGCCUGUUAAUAGCGGGUUGGGUUGACGGUACCUCAGGAAUAAGCCCCGGCUAACUACGUGCCAGCAGCCGCGGUAAUACGUAGGGGGCGAGCGUUGUCCGGAAUCACUGGGCGUAAAGGGCGCGUAGGCGGCUUGAGAAGUCGCAGGUGAAAUCCCGCGGCUCAACCGUGGAACUGCCUGCGAAACCAUUGGGCUUGAGGACAGGAGAGGGAAGCGGAAUUCCUGGUGUAGCGGUGAAAUGCGUAGAUAUCAGGAGGAACACCAGUGGCGAAGGCGGCUUUCUGGCCUGGUCCUGACGCUGAGGCGCGAAAGCUAGGGAGCAAACAGGAUUAGAUACCCUGGUAGUCCUAGCUGUAAACGAUGGGCACUAGGUGUUGGGGGGUUCAUACCCUUCAGUGCCGUAGGUAACCCAAUAAGUGCCCCGCCUGGGGAGUACGGUCGCAAGACUGAAACUCAAAGGAAUUGACGGGGGCCCGCACAAGCGGUGGAGCAGUGGUUUAAUUCGAUGCAACGCGAAGAACCUUACCAGGGUUUGACAUGUCGGUGGUACGGAGUGGAA
This 1004-nucleotide ribosomal RNA is filed under the name uncultured bacterium. Its description in RNAcentral is "bacterial SSU rRNA". It matches the Rfam family "Bacterial small subunit ribosomal RNA", at positions 28 to 1005 of the family's 1533-position model. The record is from RNAcentral.